AUUGAACGCUGGCGGCAUGCUUCACACAUGCAAGUCGAACGGUAACAGGCCUUCGGGUGCUGACGAGUGGCGAACGGGUGAGUAAUGCAUCGGAACGUACCCAGAGGUGGGGGAUAACGCAGCGAAAGCUGUGCUAAUACCGCAUGUGAUCUGAGGAUGAAAGCGGGGGACCGAGCAGCAAUGUUUGGCCUCGCGCCUUUGGAGCGGCCGAUGUCGGAUUAGCUAGUUGGUGGGGUAAAGGCCUACCAAGGCGACGAUCCGUAGCUGGUCUGAGAGGACGACCAGCCACACUGGGACGGAGACACGGCCCAGACUCCUACGGGAGGCAGCAGUGGGGAAUUUUGGACAAUGGGCGCAAGCCUGAUCCAGCAAUGCCGCGUGCGGGAAGAAGGCCUUCGGGUUGUAAACCGCUUUUGGCAGGAACGAAACGGUGUCCGCUAAUACCGGGCGCUAAUGACGGUACCUGCAGAAUAAGCACCGGCUAACUACGUG
Molecule: ribosomal RNA, 492 nt
Filed under: uncultured bacterium
Lineage: Bacteria
Description: partial 16S ribosomal RNA
Rfam family: Bacterial small subunit ribosomal RNA
Source: RNAcentral